This 481-nucleotide ribosomal RNA is filed under the name uncultured bacterium. RNAcentral describes it as "bacterial SSU rRNA". It matches the Rfam family "Bacterial small subunit ribosomal RNA", at positions 328 to 793 of the family's 1533-position model. The record is from RNAcentral.
UCAGUCGACUCCUACGGGGAGGCAGCAGUGGGGGAAUAUUGCACAAUGGGCGCAAGCCUGAUGCAGCCAUGCCGCGUGUGUGAAGAAGGCCUUCGGGUUGUAAAGCACUUUCAGUCGUGAGGAAGGUAGUGUAGUUAAUAGCUGCAUUAUUUGACGUUUAGCGACAGAAGAAGCACCGGCUAACUCCGUGCCAGCAGCCGCGGUAAUACGGAGGGUGCGAGCGUUAAUCGGAAUUACUGGGCGUAAAGCGCAUGCAGGUGGUUUGUUAAGUCAGAUGUGAAAGCCCGGGGCGUCAACCUCGGAAUUGCAUUUGAAACUAGGCAGACUAGAGUACUGUAGAGGGGGGUAGGAAUUUCAGGUGUAGCGGUGAAAUAGCGUAGAGAUCUGAAGGAAUACCGGUGGCGAAGGCGGCCCCCUCGGACAGAUACUGACACUCAGAUGCGAAAGCGUGGGGAGCAAACAGGAUUAGAUACCCUGGUAG